Molecule: non-coding RNA, 804 nt
Filed under: Adoxophyes orana (summer fruit tortrix moth)
Lineage: Eukaryota; Metazoa; Arthropoda; Insecta; Lepidoptera; Tortricidae
Source: RNAcentral
AAAUAAAUUUUUUAUGGUUUUAAUAAUUUAUUUAAAAUUUAUUUUACAUAUAAAUUUUAGUGUUAAUUUUACUUUAUUUUAAUAAUAAUUUAAUUUAUUUGUAGUAAUUAAUAUUAAAUAAUUUAAGAAAUUAAGAUUUAGUAAUAUUUGAAUUAAUAACAAAUUUUGUGCCAGCAGUUGCGGUUAAACAAAAGUUAAUUUAAAUUUUAUUAAUAAUUAAUAAAUAAUUGAAAAUUUAUAAUAAUUUUAUUAUAAAUUAAAAUAAUAUAAAUUUUAAAUUAUUAGGUGAAAUUUUAAUUUAAUUUAAUAUUCAUAAUGUAUUUAUGAUUUAAUAAAUUUUAUAAAAAACUAGGAUUAGAUACCCUAUUAUUAAAAAUUUAAAUUCAAAAUACUAAAAUAGUAUGUAAUUAUUUAUUGAAACUUAAAUAAUUUGGCGGUAUUUUAGUUCAUUUAGAGGAAUCUGUUUAUUAAUUGAUAAUCCACGAAUAAUUUUACUUAAUUUAUAAUUUUGUAUAUCGUUGUUAAAAAAAUAUUUUUAAAUAAAUUUAAUAUUUAAAAAUUUUAAUUAAAAAUUAAAUCAGAUCAAGAUGCAGGUAAUAAUUAAGAAUAUAAUGGAUUACAAUAAAUUUAUUUAAAUGAAUAUUAAAUUGAAAAAUUUAAUUGAAAGUGGAUUUAAAUGUAAUUUUAUUUAAUUUAAUAAAAUGAUUAAAAAUUAAAAUAUGUACAUAUUGCCCGUCGCUUUCAUUUAUAAAUUGAAAUAAGUCGUAACAAAGUAGGGGUACUGGAAAGUGUUCCUAGAAAGAU